AAGGAGGUGAUCCAGCCGCAGGUUCCCCUACGGUUACCUUGUUACGACUUCACCCCAGUCAUGAAUCACAAAGUGGUAAGCGCCCUCCCGAAGGUUAAGCUACCUACUUCUUUUGCAACCCACUCCCAUGGUGUGACGGGCGGUGUGUACAAGGCCCGGGAACGUAUUCACCGUAGCAUUCUGAUCUACGAUUACUAGCGAUUCCGACUUCAUGGAGUCGAGUUGCAGACUCCAAUCCGGACUACGACAUACUUUAUGAGGUCCGCUUGCUCUCGCGAGGUCGCUUCUCUUUGUAUAUGCCAUUGUAGCACGUGUGUAGCCCUACUCGUAAGGGCCAUGAUGACUUGACGUCAUCCCCACCUUCCUCCAGUUUAUCACUGGCAGUCUCCUUUGAGUUCCCGGCCGAACCGCUGGCAACAAAGGAUAAGGGUUGCGCUCGUUGCGGGACUUAACCCAACAUUUCACAACACGAGCUGACGACAGCCAUGCAGCACCUGUCUCAGAGUUCCCGAAGGCACCAAUCCAUCUCUGGAAAGUUCUCUGGAUGUCAAGAGUAGGUAAGGUUCUUCGCGUUGCAUCGAAUUAAACCACAUGCUCCACCGCUUGUGCGGGCCCCCGUCAAUUCAUUUGAGUUUUAACCUUGCGGCCGUACUCCCCAGGCGGUCGAUUUAACGCGUUAGCUCCGGAAGCCACGCCUCAAGGGCACAACCUCCAAAUCGACAUCGUUUACAGCGUGGACUACCAGGUAUCUAAUCCUGUUUGCUCCCCACGCUUUCGCACCUGAGCGUCAGUCUUCGUCCAGGGGGCCGCCUUCGCCACCGGUAUUCCUCCAGAUCUCUACGCAUUUCACCGCUACACCUGGAAUUCUACCCCCCUCUACGAGACUCUAGCUUGCCAGUUUCAAAUGCAGUUCCCAGGUUGAGCCCGGGGAUUUCACAUCUGACUUAACAAACCGCCUGCGUGCGCUUUACGCCCAGUAAUUCCGAUUAACGCUUGCACCCUCCGUAUUACCGCGGCUGCUGGCACGGAGUUAGCCGGUGCUUCUUCUGCGAGUAACGUCAAUUGAUGAGCGUAUUAAGCUCACCACCUUCCUCCUCGCUGAAAGUGCUUUACAACCCGAAGGCCUUCUUCACACACGCGGCAUGGCUGCAUCAGGCUUGCGCCCAUUGUGCAAUAUUCCCCACUGCUGCCUCCCGUAGGAGUCUGGACCGUGUCUCAGUUCCAGUGUGGCUGGUCAUCCUCUCAGACCAGCUAGGGAUCGUCGCCUAGGUGAGCCAUUACCCCACCUACUAGCUAAUCCCAUCUGGGCACAUCUGAUGGCAAGAGGCCCGAAGGUCCCCCUCUUUGGUCUUGCGACGUUAUGCGGUAUUAGCUACCGUUUCCAGUAGUUAUCCCCCUCCAUCAGGCAGUUUCCCAGACAUUACUCACCCGUCCGCCGCUCGUCACCCAGAGAGCAAGCUCUCCUGUGCUACCGCUCGACUUGCAUGUGUUAAGCCUGCCGCCAGCGUUCAAUCUGAGCCAGGAUCAAACUCU
Molecule: ribosomal RNA, 1533 nt
Filed under: uncultured Serratia sp.
Lineage: Bacteria; Pseudomonadati; Pseudomonadota; Gammaproteobacteria; Enterobacterales; Yersiniaceae
Description: partial 16S ribosomal RNA
Source: RNAcentral